CAGUCGCCACGGUAAUACGUAGGUGGCGAGCGUUGUCCGGAAUUAUUGGGCGUAAAGGGCUCGCAGGCGGUUUCUUAAGUCUGAUGUGAAAGCCCCCGGCUCAACCGGGGAGGGUCAUUGGAAACUGGGAAGCUUGAGUGCAGAAGAGGAGAGUGGAAUUCCACGUGUAGCGGUGAAAUGCGUAGAGAUGUGGAGGAACACCAGUGGCGAAGGCGACUCUCUGGUCUGUAACUGACGCUGAGGAGCGAAAGCGUGGGGAGCGAACAGGAUUAGAUACCCCUGUAGUCCCUGUCUCUUAUAC
RNAcentral lists this ribosomal RNA (301 nucleotides) under uncultured bacterium. RNAcentral's name for it is "partial 16S ribosomal RNA". It matches the Rfam family "Bacterial small subunit ribosomal RNA", at positions 509 to 807 of the family's 1533-position model. The record is from RNAcentral.